CAAUAGCGUAUAUUAAAGUUGUUGCGGUUAAAAAGCUCGUAGUUGGAUUUCUGCUGAGAACGACCGGUCCGCCCUCUGGGUGUGUAUCUGGCUCUUUCUUGGCAUCUUCUUGGUGAACGUUGCUGCACUUGACUGUGUGGAGCGCUACCCAGGACUUUUACUUUGAGGAAAUUAGAGUGUUUCAAGCAGGCAUACGCCUUGAAUACAUUAGCAUGGAAUAAUAAGAUAGGACCUCGGUUCUAUUUUGUUGGUUUCUAGAGCUGAGGUAAUGAUUAAUAGGGAUAGUUGGGGGCAUUCGUAUUUAACUGUCAGAGGUGUAAUUCUUGGAUUUGUUAAAGACGGACUACUGCGAAAGCAUUUGCCAAGGAUGUUUUCAUUGA
This 380-nucleotide ribosomal RNA is filed under the name uncultured eukaryote. RNAcentral's name for it is "partial 18S ribosomal RNA". It matches the Rfam family "Eukaryotic small subunit ribosomal RNA", at positions 592 to 976 of the family's 1831-position model. The record is from RNAcentral.